Molecule: long non-coding RNA, 2504 nt
Filed under: Marmota monax (woodchuck)
Lineage: Eukaryota; Metazoa; Chordata; Mammalia; Rodentia; Sciuridae
Source: RNAcentral
AAAUAUUAGCUUUUAAUGGCCCUGUCCUUUACAAGAUGAUACAAAAGUCAUGUGAAUUUCUUUUUAUUCUACCAAAAGUUUGUUUUAACAUUAUUACAGAGUAAUAAUCUUAGUUGUGCCUAGUAAUUAGAACUGAAAAUUUACCUCACAGAAUAAAAUAGGGUGACUCUAUGCCUAGUCCCAUGAUUUUUAACUGUUUUAAAAAUAAAACUCUUUAAUUUGUUUAAUAUUUCAGAAUACUACUAGAUAGAUAUCCUCAAGAAUUAGAAAUCAGAAAUUUCUGCAUAUUUUGUGAUCUUAUUCUUUCUUCUACCAAUGAAUUCUUCAUUUAGGUUAAAAAGUACAUAUUUGCCUAUUUUUCAUUUUAGGCCUUCUCAUUUUGCCAGCAGCCUCUAUCAUGUCUCGUAUCUUUUUCUUUCUAAAAUUAUGCUAUUCUGAGCUUUGUGCCUGUGUGCUAAGUAUAAGAGACAAAAUUCUAAUGUUCUACACUGUUUCUUGGGGAGUUCCCAAAUGCUCUAUUUGUUUAUUUUUUUUACUGUAGUAAGAAUAUGUAACAAGAGAUCUACCCUCUUACCUGGUUUUUAAGUAUAUUAAAAUAUUCUUAACGUGCUAAUGGUUAGAACUAGGGUGCUGAAAGGAAGGCGAGAGGGAGGCAAAGAAAAAUAAACUGACCUUAGGAUGGUGUGAAGUGGUUUGUGGAACCAGGAAGAAGUACAUUAUGUCUUUUCAUUUCCUUUUGUUGUAAGAUCUUCAACUGGGAGUUAAGAAACUCAAAUUUUAGUUCCAGUUUUGCCACUAUUCAUGAAUGUAUUCUCCAAUCUCCUUAAAUGGGGGCUAGCCAUGAGAAUAGAAUUAUUAUACCUGAGAGGGUCUCCAAAUCUCGGUAGCCAUAAUGCAUGGAUAGUUGAAAAACUGAUACUCUUUGAAAAGGUGGGCGAUAGCCCUAGUCAAUAUUAAAUAACUCACUUUAUGUAUACACUAAAACUCUCAUGGCAUUGAUAUUGAUGAAGUGUGAGAUUACAUAAAAUACUUUUGAAUAUUCACUUGGUGAAUUUUCAGUUUCUGUGGAAGUCUUAUGUUCAAGGGGGGUAAACGUCAAUUAGUCUCCUCCCUGCCAUGCACAACUAUCAAUAACCUUGGCUAAACUGUAAAAGAAAACUGAAAAAGAACAUGCCACAGAACCACAAAAUAGUCUAGAACUCUGUCUCUGAAAGUCCAACUCUAGUGUGAUAGGGAUUAAAAGCCAGUGAAUAAAUAUGGGGCCUUUUCAUAGAUAUCAACUUUACUCCAAGACUUUAAAAAAUGCAUAGAUGUUAUAUUUAUACUAAAUAUAGGAAUACUGCGAUUUAAAAUGCAAUGUUUAUAUUAAAUUUAAGAUAGAACUUGAAACUAAAGAAAAUUAUAGCUUAGGACAAGACUAUAUUAAGGCAAUUGUUCACUCUCUAUACUAUUAACUAUACUUGUGUGAAAAAGUUUGAGGCAAAGUGACCUUGAUGGUAUGUUAAAACCUAUUUUAGGGGCCGGGGUUAUAGCUCAGCGGUGGAGUGCUCGCCUCACACAUGGAAGGCCCUGGGUUCGAUCCUCUGCACCACAUAUAAAUAAAUAAAAUAAAGUUAUUGUAUCCAAUUACAACUACAAAAAAUAAAUAUUAAAAAAACAUUUUCUAGAUGGAGAUGGAUGGUGGUGAUGAUUAUACAGCAUUAUGAAUAUACGUAUUCAAUAUCACUGAAUUGUACCUUUAAAAAUGGUUAAGAUGAUAGAUUUUGUUAUGAGUAUUUUACCACAGUUUUAAAAGUAGGGGAGAAACCUUCUACUAAAAUCGAAUGUUAUCAACAAAUGAAGAUUUAUCCCGAGAAAUUUUUAAUUUCAAUAUACAUAUAUGUUGACCACUAUAUCCUGUUAUUCAGCUCAUGAGUCAUCUCUUAUUGUGCUCUUGAAAAGAAUGCUUGAUUCCAAGGUUUUUAAACAAAUUAAAGAAGGUCCCUGUGAAGUAGAACCUUUACUUACCAGUUCUCACUUCUGUGGCUGACAGUUAGCCUGCAUUUGUCAGUAUACUACCUGUGUUUUUGAAAAAGAACACCCAUAAAGAAAGAAGCCUGUUAGAAACAGUUCUAAAACAGACUUUUCAUGAAGACCCUACCAGAAAAUUUCUAGGAUAUCCUAAACAAAUUAGACAAGCAUUUACCUAUGAAACUGUUCUUUUACAGGAGAGAAAACUUGGUUGGAAGGCUGAAAUUAUGGUAUAUCCUUAUAUCCUAUAACAAUACUUAUUCAGCGAUUAAAGUAUAUAACUGAAUAUUUACAUAUUUUUAUAAAAUUUUAAUUUUUUUAGAUGUUGAUGAACCUUUAUUUUUACUCAUUUAUUUAUAUGUGUUGCUGAGAAUCAAACCAGUGCCUCUCACAUGCUAGGCAAACUGAGCCACAACCCCAGCCCAUAACUGAAUAUUUACUGAUAGGAAAUACGCACACACACACACACACACACGCACACACACAUAACAAAC